RNAcentral lists this unclassified non-coding RNA (158 nucleotides) under uncultured Coniochaetaceae. Its description in RNAcentral is "sequence contains ITS1". Lineage: Eukaryota; Fungi; Ascomycota; Sordariomycetes; Coniochaetales. The record is from RNAcentral.
CUGAGAACUUGCCCUUUCGGGGUAGAUCUCCCACCCUCUGUCUACAUACUUUGUUGCUUUGGCAGGCCUGCCUCUGCGCUACUGGCCUCGGCUAGUUAGUGCCUGCCAGAGAAUCAAAACCCAGAAUCAUUUAUUGUCUGAGUAAUAUUUAAUAGUUA